Molecule: ribosomal RNA, 672 nt
Filed under: Triticum aestivum (bread wheat)
Lineage: Eukaryota; Viridiplantae; Streptophyta; Magnoliopsida; Poales; Poaceae
Description: partial small subunit ribosomal RNA
Source: RNAcentral
AUGGCGUCAGGCACAGGGAACUGCAAGAAGAAGAAAGACACGGAGAGUAGCCCGGUGUCCGAGCUUUCCGACGAUUUCCUCGUCGAGAUCUUCUCUCGCGUGCCCUACAGGUCCACAUGCUGCUUCAAGUGCGUCUCCGGGCGCUGGCGCGACCUCGUCUCCCACCCGGACCACCGCAAGAAGCUGCCCCAGUCGACCCUUGCCGGCAUCUUCUACCAAAUCCGCAACAAGAAUACAGGUUACCAAAGCCUAUCGGGGAACUGGACACGCCUUGGUCCCAACAAUAUAGCAGACUACGUGGUGUGCAAUCCCGUCACUGAAAGGUGGGUGGUUGUGCGUGCCACCAACUGCUCCAGCAACGUCUCGAUCGCUCGCCUGGGGUUCGACCCGGCCGUCUCCUCCCACUUCCAUGUGUUCCAGUUUGCGCCUGCUGAUUUUGUGGGUGCGAAUAGGCCGACGAUUGCUGGUGCUACUACAGACAUCAAAUCAGUGGGGAUCUACUCAUCCAAAGCUGCAGUUUGGGCACGUCGAGUUGGCUGGAAGAGUCCAAUAUCGGUACGCCGCACUUCAGAAAGCGUGUUUUUCAGGGGGAUGCUGUAUCUGUCUACGAAUGCUGGUUUGGUUAUAGGUGUUGGCGUGGAGGGAAACGUAGGGUCAUCCGUGCCCCUAUGA